This 500-nucleotide ribosomal RNA is filed under the name uncultured bacterium. RNAcentral's name for it is "bacterial SSU rRNA". It matches the Rfam family "Bacterial small subunit ribosomal RNA", at positions 36 to 518 of the family's 1533-position model. The record is from RNAcentral.
ACUGGCGGCGUGCUUAACACAUGCAAGUCGAACGAAGCACCUCGCCCGAUGAAAUGGAGUGCUUGCACAAAGUGGAAUCAAUUGAGGUGACUGAGUGGCGGACGGGUGAGUAACGCGUGGGUAACCUGCCCUAUACAGGGGGAUAGCAGUUGGAAACGACUGAUAAUACCGCAUAAGCGCACAGGACCGCAUGGUCUGGUGUGAAAAACUCCGGUGGUAUAGGAUGGACCCGCGUCUGAUUAGCUAGUUGGUGAGGUAACGGCUCACCAAGGCGACGAUCAGUAGCCGACCUGAGAGGGUGACCGGCCACAUUGGGACUGAGACGCGGCCCAAACUCCUACGGGAGGCAGCAGUGGGGAAUAUUGCACAAUGGGCGAAAGCCUGAUGCAGCGACGCCCGCGUGAGUGAUGAAGUAUUUCGGUAUGUAAAGCUCUAUCAGCAGGGAAGAUAAUGACGGUACCUGACUAAGAAGCACCGGCUAAAUACGUGCCAGCCGCAGC